This 128-nucleotide non-coding RNA is filed under the name Notamacropus eugenii (tammar wallaby). The record is from RNAcentral. Lineage: Eukaryota; Metazoa; Chordata; Mammalia; Diprotodontia; Macropodidae.
AUGUUGUAUGAAAGGAGAGAAGUUUAGUACUCUCCUUGAUAAGAGUGGAAGAGGUCCUACUGGCUUUCACAACACUUAUAUGGUUUAAGUAUUGUCACCAACUCUGUGGCAUCUAACCAUGUUUUUAU